RNAcentral lists this small nuclear RNA (177 nucleotides) under Carassius auratus (goldfish). Its description in RNAcentral is "U2 spliceosomal RNA (ENSCARG00000026091.1)". It matches the Rfam family "U2 spliceosomal RNA". From Rfam's summary of the family: U2 is a small nuclear RNA (snRNA) component of the spliceosome (involved in pre-mRNA splicing). Complementary binding between U2 snRNA (in an area lying towards the 5' end but 3' to hairpin I) and the branchpoint sequence (BPS) of the intron results the bulging out of an unpaired adenosine, on the BPS, which initiates a nucleophilic attack at the intronic 5' splice site, thus starting the first of two transesterification reactions that mediate splicing. Lineage: Eukaryota; Metazoa; Chordata; Actinopteri; Cypriniformes; Cyprinidae. The record is from Rfam by way of RNAcentral.
AAAAUUUUUCAAAAGAAAGAAAAAUCUGUUCUUAUCAGUUUAAUAUCUGAUACGUCCCCCAUCCGGGGACUACAUAUUAAAUGGAUUUUUAGAUCACGGAGCUGGAGCCGGGGCUUGCUCCGUCCACUCCAUGCAUCGGCCUGGUAUUGCAGUGUCUCCAGGAACGGUGUGCUUUCC